RNAcentral lists this ribosomal RNA (749 nucleotides) under Trentepohliaceae sp. Kukwa 19362. RNAcentral's name for it is "SSU rRNA". It matches the Rfam family "Eukaryotic small subunit ribosomal RNA", at positions 286 to 1042 of the family's 1831-position model. Lineage: Eukaryota; Viridiplantae; Chlorophyta; Ulvophyceae; Trentepohliales; Trentepohliaceae. The record is from RNAcentral.
GGCGAUGUUUCAUUCAAAUUUCCUGCCCUAUCAACUUUCGACGGUAGGGUAGUGGCCUACCGUGGUGGUAACGGGUGACGGAGGAUUAGGGUUCGAUUCCGGAGAGGGAGCCUGAGAAACGGCUACCACAUCCAAGGAAGGCAGCAGGCGCGCAAAUUACCCAAAUCCCAACUCGGGGAGGUAGUGACAAGAAAUAACGAUGCUCCGGCCUCACGGUCGGGUAAUCGGAAUGAGAACAAUUUAAAUCCCUUAUCGAGGAUCAAUUGGAGGGCAAGUCUGGUGCCAGCAGCCGCGGUAAUUCCAGCUCCAAUAGCGUAUAUUUAAGUUGCUGCGGUUAAAAAGCUCGUAGUCGGAUUUCGGGUGGCGCCUACCGGUCCGCCUUUGGUGAGUACUGGUAGGUGCCACCUUUCUGCCGAGGACGGGGUACUGGGCUUAACUGUCUGGGCCCCGGAGUCGGCGAUGUCACUUUGAGUAAAUUAGGGUGUUCAAAGCAGGCUUAUGCUCUGUAUACACUAGCAUGGGAUGACACGAUAGGACUUCGGUUUAUCUUGUCGGUCUGUAGAUCGGAGUAAUGAUUAAGAGGGACAGUCGGGGGCAUUCGUAUUUCGUAGUCAGAGGUGAAAUUCUUGGAUUUACGGAAGACGAACUUCUGCGAAAGCAUUUGCCAAGGAUGUUUUCAUUGAUCAAGAACGAAAGUCGGGGGCUCGAAGACGAUUAGAUACCGUCGUAGUCUCGACCAUAAACGAUGC